GGAUGAAAGACGGUUUCGGCUGUCACUUACAGAUGGACCCGCGGCGCAUUAGCUAGUUGGUGGGGUAAUGGCUCACCAAGGCGACGAUGCGUAGCCGACCUGAGAGGGUGAUCGGCCACACUGGGACUGAGACACGGCCCAGACUCCUACGGGAGGCAGCAGUAGGGAAUCUUCCGCAAUGGACGAAAGUCUGACGGAGCAACGCCGCGUGAGUGAUGAAGGUUUUCGGAUCGUAAAGCUCUGUUGUUAGGGAAGAACAAGUGCGAGAGUAACUGCUCGCACCUUGACGGUACCUAACCAGAAAGCCACGGCUAACUACGUGCCAGCAGCCGCGGUAAUACGUAGGUGGCAAGCGUUGUCCGGAAUUAUUGGGCGUAAAGGGCUCGCAGGCGGUUUCUUAAGUCUGAUGUGAAAGCCCCCGGCUCAACCGGGGAGGGUCAUUGGAAACUGGGAAACUUGAGUGCAGAAGAGGAGAGUGGAAUUCCACGUGUAGCGGUGAAAUGCGUAGAGAUGUGGAGGAACACCAGUGGCGAAGGCGACUCUCUGGUCUGUAACUGACGCUGAGGAGCGAAAGCGUGGGGAGCGAACAGGAUUAGAUACCCUGGUAGUCCACGCCGUAAACGAUGAGUGCUAAGUGUUAGGGGGUUUCCGCCCCUUAGUGCUGCAGCUAACGCAUUAAGCACUCCGCCUGGGGAGUACGGUCGCAAGACUGAAACUCAAAGGAAUUGACGGGGGCCCGCACAAGCGGUGGAGCAUGUGGUUUAAUUCGAAGCAACGCGAAGAACCUUACCAGGUCUUGACAUCCUCUGACAACCCUAGAGAUAGGGCUUUCCCUUCGGGGACAGAGUGACAGGUGGUGCAUGGUUGUCGUCAGCUCGUGUCGUGAGAUGUUGGGUUAAGUCCCGCAACGAGCGCAACCCUUGAUCUUAGUUGCCAGCAUUCAGUUGGGCACUCUAAGGUGACUGCCGGUGACAAACCGGAGGAAGGUGGGGAUGACGUCAAAUCAUCAUGCCCCUUAUGACCUGGGCUACACACGUGCUACAAUGGACAGAACAAAGGGCUGCAAGACCGCAAGGUUUAGCCAAUCCCAUAAAUCUGUUCUCAGUUCGGAUCGCAGUCUGCAACUCGACUGCGUGAAGCUGGAA
This 1145-nucleotide ribosomal RNA is filed under the name uncultured Bacillus sp. RNAcentral's name for it is "bacterial SSU rRNA". It matches the Rfam family "Bacterial small subunit ribosomal RNA", at positions 198 to 1331 of the family's 1533-position model. The record is from RNAcentral. Lineage: Bacteria; Bacillati; Bacillota; Bacilli; Caryophanales; Bacillaceae.